RNAcentral lists this ribosomal RNA (506 nucleotides) under uncultured bacterium. RNAcentral's name for it is "partial 16S ribosomal RNA". It matches the Rfam family "Bacterial small subunit ribosomal RNA", at positions 29 to 523 of the family's 1533-position model. The record is from RNAcentral.
AUUGAACGCUGGCGGCAGGCCUAACACAUGCAAGUCGGACGGUAGCACAGGGGAGCUUGCUCCUCGGGUGACGAGUGGCGGACGGGUGAGUAAUGUCUGGGGAUCUGCCCGAUAGAGGGGGAUAACCACUGGAAACGGUGGCUAAUACCGCAUAACGUCGCAAGACCAAAGAGGGGGACCUUCGGGCCUCUCACUAUCGGAUGAACCCAGAUGGGAUUAGCUAGAAGGCGGGGUAACGGCCCACCUAGGCGACGAUCCCUAGCUGGUCUGAGAGGAUGACCAGCCACACUGGAACUGGGACACGGUCCAGACUCCUACGGGAGGCAGCAGUGGGGAAUAUUGCACAAUGGGCGCAAGCCUGAUGCAGCCAUGCCGCGUGGAUGAAGAAGGCCUUCGGGUUGUAAAGUACUUUCAGCGGGGAGGAAGGCGAUGUGGUUAAUAACCUUGUCGAUUGACGUUACCCGCAGAAGAAGCACCGGCUAACUCCGUGCCAGCAGCCGCAGUAA